CGCACCUCGCACAUUUAUGUAGUAGUUGUUGGAGGAGGAGAGCGCGCUUCCACACUCGGCGCAAAGAUAGUAAAGGAAUUGCGUCACCCUGGGUGAAAACACCCACAACCAGUGAGCAAAGAAAGCUUUUAAACGUACACUACUAGUACGUUUGGGAAGGCUCGGCAGUGACCAGCUUCCUUCUCAAGCGACCCCAACCUUUCAAGAUUGAUUUUCAGCCGUCUUCGUCGAAUCCAAUUCCACGAUGCAUCGUCAGAAGGCAGCACCAAAACUGAGGCUGGAGCCCCUAGAAAUAUUACAGGGCAAGGAACCCACU
Molecule: long non-coding RNA, 316 nt
Organism: Homarus americanus (American lobster)
Lineage: Eukaryota; Metazoa; Arthropoda; Malacostraca; Decapoda; Nephropidae
Exons: 3
Source: RefSeq, a predicted model, not a curated record